UACGCAGGGGGCUAGCGUUGCUCGGAAUCACUGGGCGUAAAGCGCACGUAGGCGGAUCGCUAAGUCAGGGGUGAAAUCCUGGAGCUCAACUCCAGAACUGCCUUUGAUACUGGCAAUCUCGAGUCCGGGAGAGGUGAGUGGAACUGCGAGUGUAGAGGUGAAAUUCGUAGAUAUUCGCAAGAACACCAGUGGCGAAGGCGGCGCACUGGCCCGGUACUGACGCUGAGGUGCGAAAGCGUGGGGAGCAAACAGG
Molecule: ribosomal RNA, 253 nt
Filed under: uncultured bacterium
Lineage: Bacteria
Description: partial 16S ribosomal RNA
Rfam family: Bacterial small subunit ribosomal RNA
Source: RNAcentral